This 719-nucleotide unclassified non-coding RNA is filed under the name Megachile rotundata (alfalfa leafcutting bee). RNAcentral describes it as "pHD finger-like domain-containing protein 5A, transcript variant X1". Lineage: Eukaryota; Metazoa; Arthropoda; Insecta; Hymenoptera; Megachilidae. The record is from RNAcentral.
UUAAAAAAGAUAUGUAUCGCAGGGGUAAUGUUUGAAUUUUUCAAUUUAUCAUCUCACGGGCCAAAUAGUAGUAUCGUAUUGUUGUACUGUCGCCGAUUUAGAAGGAACCUUAAAGUACAAACAAACUGAGAUUCCUAAAGUGUGUUGAUGUACGGUGUAUAGUAUGUAAAUAUUUGUGUAAUUAUUUGUUUACUAAUAUUUAAAGUAUUUUAAUCAUUACGUGAUAUGGCUAAGCAUCAUCCAGAUUUAAUCUUUUGUAGGAAACAGCCAGGUGUUGCUAUUGGACGAUUAUGCGAGAAGUGUGAUGGUAAAUGCGUAAUUUGUGACUCCUAUGUAAGACCAUGUACUCUGGUCAGAAUUUGUGACGAAUGCAAUUAUGGAUCUUAUCAAGGCAGAUGUGUUAUCUGUGGAGGUCCUGGUGUUUCAGAUGCCUAUUACUGCAAAGAAUGUACAAUUCAAGAAAAGGAUAGAGACGGGUGUCCGAAGAUCGUAAAUCUUGGAAGUUCAAAGACAGAUUUGUUCUAUGAAAGAAAGAAAUAUGGAUUCAAGAGAAGAUAAGAUUCGGUACUGAAGAUCAAUUAAUUUAUAUAACAAAUUUUUCAUAUGUUCCAAAUAAAUAGUUUUCUUGUACAAUUGCGACUCCAGCAAGGAUCCAUUUGCUAGCCCUCUCUUUCGUCCUCAAGUUAAACGUCCAAACAUAGGUCGGACCUCGAGAUCGU